This 253-nucleotide ribosomal RNA is filed under the name uncultured bacterium. Its description in RNAcentral is "partial 16S ribosomal RNA". It matches the Rfam family "Bacterial small subunit ribosomal RNA", at positions 524 to 776 of the family's 1533-position model. The record is from RNAcentral.
UACGGAGGGGGCAAGCGUUAUUCGGAAUUAUUGGGCGUAAAGGGCGCGUAGGCGGCUUGACAAGUCAAAGGUGAAAUCCCUCGGCUCAACUGAGGAACUGCCUUUGAAACUGUCUGGCUUGAGGCCGGGAGGGGGUAGUGGAAUUCCCAGUGUAGCGGUGAAAUGCGUAGAUAUUGGGAGGAACACCAGUGGCGAAGGCGGCUACCUGGACCGGUUCUGACGCUGAUGCGCGAAAGCGUGGGUAGCAAACAGG